This 69-nucleotide transfer RNA is filed under the name mouse gut metagenome. It matches the Rfam family "tRNA". Rfam says of the family: Transfer RNA (tRNA) molecules are approximately 80 nucleotides in length. Their secondary structure includes four short double-helical elements and three loops (D, anti-codon, and T loops). RNAcentral also lists the same sequence under 2 other names. The record is from RNAcentral.
AGGUGUGGCUCAGUUUGGUAGAGCGCUGCGUUCGGGACGCAGAGGUCGCAGGUUCGAAUCCUGUCACCU